GACGAACGCUGGCGGCGUGCUUAACACAUGCAAGUCGAACGGAAGGGCCCUGCUUUUGUGGGGUGCUCGAUUGGCGAACGGGUGAGUAACACGUGAGUAACCUGCCCUUGACUUUGGGAUAACUUCAGGAAACUGGGGCUAAUACCGGAUAGGAGCUCCUGCUGCAUGGUGGGGGUUGGAAAGUUUCGGCGGUUGGGGAUGGACUCGCGGCUUAUCAGCUUGUUGGUGGGGUAGUGGCUUACCAAGGCUUUGACGGGUAGCCGGCAUGAGAGGGUGACCGGCCACAUUGGGACUGAGAUACGGACCAGACUCCUACGGGAGGCAGCAGUGGGGAAUAUUGCACAAUGGGCGGAAGCCUGAGGCAGCAACGCCGCGUGCGGGAUGACGGCCUUCGGGUGGUAAACCGCUUUCGCCUGUGACGAAGCGUGAGUGACGGUAAUGGGUAAAGAAGCACCGGCUAACUACGUG
Molecule: ribosomal RNA, 468 nt
Filed under: uncultured bacterium
Lineage: Bacteria
Description: partial 16S ribosomal RNA
Rfam family: Bacterial small subunit ribosomal RNA
Source: RNAcentral